This 547-nucleotide ribosomal RNA is filed under the name uncultured bacterium. Its description in RNAcentral is "bacterial SSU rRNA". It matches the Rfam family "Bacterial small subunit ribosomal RNA", at positions 355 to 896 of the family's 1533-position model. The record is from RNAcentral.
UGGGGAAUAUUGGACAAUGGGCGAAAGCCUGAUCCAGCCAUGCCGCGUGUGUGAAGAAGGCCUUUUGGUUGUAAAGCACUUUAAGUGGGGAGGAAAAGCUUAUGGUUAAUACCCAUAAGCCCUGACGUUACCCACAGAAUAAGCACCGGCUAACUCUGUGCCAGCAGCCGCGGUAAUACAGAGGGGGGAAGCGUUAAUCGGAAUUACUGGGCGUAAAGCGCGCGUAGGUGGUUAUUUAAGUCAGAUGUGAAAGCCCCGGGCUUAACCUGGGAACUGCAUCUGAUACUGGAUAACUAGAGUAGGUGAGAGGGGAGUAGAAUUCCAGGUGUAGCGGUGAAAUGCGUAGAGAUCUGGAGGAAUACCGAUGGCGAAGGCAGCUCCCUGGCAUCAUACUGACAUUGAGGUGCGAAAGCGUGGGUAGCAAACAGGAUUAGAUACCCUGGUAGUCCACGCCGUAAACGAUGUCUACCAGUCGUUGGGUCCUUUAAAGACUUAUGACGCAGUUAACGCAAUAAGUAACCGCCUGGGGAGUACGGCCGCAAGGUUA